This 253-nucleotide ribosomal RNA is filed under the name uncultured bacterium. Its description in RNAcentral is "partial 16S ribosomal RNA". It matches the Rfam family "Bacterial small subunit ribosomal RNA", at positions 524 to 776 of the family's 1533-position model. The record is from RNAcentral.
UACGUAGGGUCCGAGCGUUGUCCGGAAUUACUGGGCGUAAAGAGCUCGUAGGCGGUUUGUCGCGUUGUCCGUGAAAACUCACAGCUCAACUGUGGGCGUGCGGGCGAUACGGGCAGACUGGAGUACUGCAGGGGAGACUGGAAUUCCUGGUGUAGCGGUGGAAUGCGCAGAUAUCAGGAGGAACACCGGUGGCGAAGGCGGGUCUCUGGGCAGUAACUGACGCUGAGGAGCGAAAGCGUGGGGAGCGAACAGG